RNAcentral lists this ribosomal RNA (253 nucleotides) under uncultured bacterium. RNAcentral's name for it is "partial 16S ribosomal RNA". It matches the Rfam family "Bacterial small subunit ribosomal RNA", at positions 524 to 776 of the family's 1533-position model. The record is from RNAcentral.
UACAGAGGGGGCAAGCGUUGUUCGGAAUUACUGGGCGUAAAGGGCGCGUAGGCGGCCUUCUAAGUCGAACGUGAAAUCCCCGGGCUCAACCCGGGAACUGCGUCCGAUACUGGAAGGCUUGAAUCCGGGAGAGGGAUGCGGAAUUCCAGGUGUAGCGGUGAAAUGCGUAGAUAUCAGGAGGAACACCGAUGGCGAAGGCAGGUCUCUGGGCAUUAACUGACGCUGAGGAGCGAAAGCAUGGGGAGCGAACAGG